CCUACGGGGGGCUGCAGUGGGGAAUAUUGGACAAUGGGGGCAACCCUGAUCCAGCCAUGCCGCGUGUGUGAAGAAGGCCCUCGGGUUGUAAAGCACUUUCAGUGAGGAAGAACGCCUGGUGGUUAAUACCCAUCAGGAAAGACAUCACUCACAGAAGAAGCACCGGCUAACUCCGGGCCAGCAGCCGCGGUAAUACGGAGGGUGCGAGCGUUAAUCGGAAUUACUGGGCGUAAAGCGCGCGUAGGUGGCUUGAUAAGCCGGUUGUGAAAGCCCCGGGCUCAACCUGGGAACGGCAUCCGGAACUGUCAAGCUAGAGUGCAGGAGAGGAAGGUAGAAUUCCCGGUGUAGCGGUGAAAUGCGUAGAGAUCGGGAGGAACACCAGUGGCGAAGGCGGCCUUCUGGACUGACACUGACACUGAGGUGCGAAAGCGUGGGUAGCAAACAGGAUUAGAUACCCCGGUAGUC
RNAcentral lists this ribosomal RNA (465 nucleotides) under Vreelandella stevensii. RNAcentral's name for it is "partial 16S ribosomal RNA". It matches the Rfam family "Bacterial small subunit ribosomal RNA", at positions 338 to 795 of the family's 1533-position model. The record is from RNAcentral. Lineage: Bacteria; Pseudomonadati; Pseudomonadota; Gammaproteobacteria; Oceanospirillales; Halomonadaceae.